GAGUUUGAUCAUGGCUCAGGAUGAACGCUAGCGGGAGGCUUAAUACAUGCAAGUCGAACGGUAACAGCGGAGCUUGCUCCGGCUGACGAGUGGCGCACGGGUGAGUAACGCGUACGAAAUCUACCUUUCAGAGAGGGAUAGCCCCGGGAAACUGGGAUUAAUACCUCAUAGUAUCGAAUUACUGCAUGGUAAUUUGAUUAAAGCUCCGGUGCUGAAAGAUGAUCGUGCGUACUAUUAGGUAGUUGGUGAGGUAACGGCUCACCAAGCCGACGAUAGUUAGGGGGCGUGAGAGCGUGACCCCCCACACGGGUACUGAGACACGGACCCGACUCCUACGGGAGGCAGCAGUAAGGAAUAUUGGACAAUGGGCGCAAGCCUGAUCCAGCCAUCCCGCGUGCAGGAUGACGGCGCUAUGCGUUGUAAACUGCUUUUAUAAGAGAAGAAACCCCUGGAUUUAUCUGGGGCUGACGGUAUCUUAAGAAUAAGCACCGGCUAACUCCGUGCCAGCAGCCGCGGUAACACGGAGGGUGCAAGCGUUAUCCGGA
RNAcentral lists this ribosomal RNA (545 nucleotides) under uncultured bacterium. RNAcentral's name for it is "bacterial SSU rRNA". It matches the Rfam family "Bacterial small subunit ribosomal RNA", at positions 9 to 549 of the family's 1533-position model. The record is from RNAcentral.